This 919-nucleotide ribosomal RNA is filed under the name uncultured bacterium. RNAcentral's name for it is "bacterial SSU rRNA". It matches the Rfam family "Bacterial small subunit ribosomal RNA", at positions 1 to 917 of the family's 1533-position model. The record is from RNAcentral.
UAGAGUUUGAUCAUGGCUCAGAUUGAACGCUGGCGGCAGGCCUAACACAUGCAAGUCGAACGGUAGCACAGAGAGCUUGCUCUUGGGUGACGAGUGGCGGACGGGUGAGUAAAGUCUGGGAAACUGCCUGAUGGAGGGGGAUAACCACUGGAAACGGUGGCUAAUACCGCAUAAUCUCGCGAGAGCAAAGUGGGGGACCUUAAUGGCCUCACGCCAUCGGAUGUGCCCAGAUGGGAUUAGCUUGUUGGUGGGGUAAAGGCUCACCAAGGCGACGAUCCCUAGCUGGUCUGAGAGGAUGACCAGCCACACUGGAACUGAGACACGGUCCAGACUCCUACGGGAGGCAGCAGUGGGGAAUAUUGCACAAUGGGCGCAAGCCUGAUGCAGCCAUGCCGCGUGUGUGAAGAAGGCCUUCGGGUUGUAAAGCACUUUCAGCGGGGAGGAAGGUGGUAUGGUUAAGAGCCAUAUCAAUUGACGUUACCCGCAGAAGAAGCACCGGCUAACUCCGUGCCAGCAGCCGCGGUAAUACGGAGGGUGCAAGCGUUAAUCGGAAUUACUGGGCGUAAAGCGCACGCAGGCGGUCUGACAAGUCAGAUGUGAAAUCCCCGGGCUUAACCUGGGAACUGCAUUUGAAACUGUCAGGCUGGAGUCUUGUAGAGGGGGGUAGAAUUCCAGGUGUAGCGGUGAAAUGCGUAGAGAUCUGGAGGAAUACCGGUGGCGAAGGCGGCCCCCUGGACAAAGACUGACGCUCAGGUGCGAAAGCGUGGGGAGCAAACAGGAUUAGAUACCCUGGUAGUCCACGCUGUAAACGAUGUCGACUUGGAGGUUGUUCCCUUGAGGAGUGGCUUCCGGAGCUAACGCGUUAAGUCGACCGCCUGGGGAGUACGCCGCAAGGUUAAAACUCAAAUGAAUUGACGGG